RNAcentral lists this long non-coding RNA (3615 nucleotides) under Pan paniscus (pygmy chimpanzee). Its description in RNAcentral is "lncRNA (ENSPPAG00000044903.1)". The record is from RNAcentral. Lineage: Eukaryota; Metazoa; Chordata; Mammalia; Primates; Hominidae.
CUUUAUUUCCAAUAUAUGGGUCCCAUCCCAUUGUAACACUAAUUGAGAACUUCCCGUCUGGAGGAAAGCAGAGAAUGAAUGACAUGUAACAUUGGACCCUAAACAGAACCAAUGACAAACCUGUGAGCUCACAAGCACACUUCUGGAGAACCUGGCUACCAGAGAAGUGUUAUUUCCAAGCUGUAAAAUCACUCAGCAGUCCCUGCAACUGAUGCAACCUUUACUUUAAGAGAAUAGGACAUCAUGUUCAUAAAGAAACUUGGAUCUCGAACAUACCUAAAAAGCAGCUUAAAGUCCUUGGAGCAAACAGUACAGCUGAGAAAUGUUACACCAGUUGGGUGUCAAUCCAUAAAACCCGUUCUAGAGAAAAUCGUGGAGAUGUUUAAAGACAUGAAGCCAAAGACAAAUUUUUCAACCAGAACCCUCAAGAAAUGUCACUUCUGUGUCUUGCCAAGAGAGAUCCAGCAUUUUUUCUACAUAAACAUCUGCUGGAAACAUUUUAAAGGGAGGCAUUUUAAAUAAUGACGUUUAUAGCUUCUUGUUCUUUAAUAAGUCUGAAAAAGAAGAAAAAUGAAUUUGUGAUACAUUCCUUCCCAAAGCAACUUUUCUUCACUGAUAUGCAUCAUAUUAGAUGAUCUAAAAGUGAAAAUAUUAACAUUAUGUUGGGGGGAAAUGGUUAAGAACAUUUCUCUGAACUGUCUGUAUCAAUCAUACCUGAGAGUCAGUCAUAAAUCACAGGUUCCUUAAACUCCAGAAACUCCAUCAGUUCAUUGUUUCGCCUACUUGUUUGUGGCAAUUAUACUACAUUUAUAUUUACAUAAUAAUUGGAUUUUCUAUUAAAUUAAACAAAAAACCUCUCAAAAAAGAGAGUCAGGGAACCAUAACUUAGCUAUACAACCUGAACAAUGCAAACUCAUUUGUAGUUAGAAUGGAAACUUCAUCUUGUACAAACUAACACGGAUGUUUGGGGAUAAUUCUCUGUAGGAAAUGCAAGAUAUAUUGCCAGGCUCUUUAAGGUUCCAUGGAAAAGACACACACGCAUUGCCUUUGGUAAUAGGUGUUUAUUGCAAAGAUACACAAAGAUGUAAUUUAGCAAGAAAUGUUAUCUCGUAGUUACUUUGGGUUUCACUGUUUUAAAGAAUCAAGUGUACUGCAGGCAUCAUGAAGAAGUGAGAAAAUGGCUUGGCACCUUUCAGAUUACAAACUAAGCUCAAAUGAUAUGUCUUUUUUUCCUUUACCCAGCAUUUUAACUUCCCCAAACAACUGAUUUGAUUGACAGCUUUGCCACCAUCAAAAACCUAUUGUCAUGAAUUUCACCCAAGUCAGCUCAGGGUACUUAUGCACUAGUACUUAAGUAAAAGGUUGUUUCUCUUGACACAUGGAGUUCAAGCAAUUAAUGACCAAUUCAAUGAAGUACUGGUUUUGGUCCUUUUAGAAAUUAGCAAUGGCCAUGGCUGAAACAAUUUUCCUGGAGUUCUUCUGCAGCAUAUUCAAUAAAUUAGAUAAAAUGGAAAAAAGUGCAUAAGGCAAGGAUUCAGUAUGUAUGCCUUCAAAUGAAGACAGGUUAUCACCUGAAAAUAGCUUUGGAGACUGACAGUAUACUGAAAAACAUUAUUAGUAAUUACUACUUUUAGGAUGGUGGAGUAAGAUCCUCCAUCAAAACAUGAGUUUCCUAAACUCUGACAUCAGCCUCCAAACCACAUACACCCAUCCAAUGAAACAGGUAAAAAUCUGUCUGGCUACUAGGUGUUAAAUGCAGCCUUUGAGGAAUAAGUAUCUUAUAUGAACCAGGGACAACACGUAACUAAUCAGGUGACAAGAUGCAGACAUGGGUUAAAAUUUGAGCAGGAAAAGCAGAAAUUUAAUGCUAUAAUGGAAAUAGACUAUAGAAUUACUUCACCAAACUUACUAAACAAAUAAGUAAACAACCACAUACACAGCCAAAACAACCCUUAGUGUGUGUUGGUGAGGGGAAUUAGAAUAGGGACUUGCUAGAAUAUAUUAUUUUUAAAAUUUCAGUUUUCAACAGCAACAACAAAAAUGUCAUCUACAAAGAAAUAGGAAAAUGUUAGACAGAAGAAAGGAAGUGGGCAAUGGAAAUAUUGCUUUGGAAGAGGUCCAGAUGGUGAAUUAAAAAACACCUCCAAGCAAUUAUUACAGAUAUGUUCAAAGACUAAAGAAAAACCAUAUUUCAAUAAUUAAUGAUUAUAAUGACAAUGUCCUAUCAAAUGUAUUAUAUAUCAAUACAGAUAGAAAAAUAUCGAAAGGAAUCAAAUAGAAAUUCUAUAUUAGAAGUAAAAUAAAAACAAAAUUAAAAGUUUACUAGCAGGGUUCAACAGUAGAUACAAGGAAGCAUGAGAAAGAAUGUGUAGAUUUGAAGAUAGAUUCAACAGAGAUCAUGCAAUCUGAAGAGUAGAGAAAAAAAUAAUAAAAACAUGCAGGCAGCCUCAGAAAAAUGUGGGAUAACAAUAAAUACAUUAACAUACAUAUAAUGGAGUUACCAGAAGUAUAGGCAAGAGAGAAAAGGACAAAUAAAUAUUCAAAGAAAUAAUGGAUGAAAACUUCCAAAAUUUGAUGAAGACAUUAUCUAAACAUCCAAGAUCAAUUAAUGAACUAGAAGGAGGAUAAAUGCAGAGAUAUAUCAACACCCACACACAUCAUAGUCAACACAUUAAAACCCAGAGAUAAACAUAAUAUUUUCAAAUUGGUAAGAGGAAAAGUACUCAAGUACCAGGAGAUUCCACUAAAAUUAAUAGCUGACUUUGCAACAGAAACAAUGGAGGUCAGAAAGCAGUGGGGUGACAUACUUAAAGGGCUAAAAGUAAAAAUAACUGUCAGCCAAAUAUACACACAUUGAAAUUAUUUUUUAAAAAUGAAGGUUCAGGCCAGGUGCAGUGGCUCAUACCUAUAAUCCUAGCACUUUGGGAGGCCCAGGCUGGCAGAUCACCUGAAGUCAGGAGUUCGAAACCAGCCGUGACAACAUUGAGAAACCGCAUCUCUACUGAAAAUAGAAAAAUUAGCUGGCGUGGUGGCACAUGCCUGUAAUCCCAGCUACUCAGGAGGUUGAGGCAGGAGAAUUGCUUGAACCCAGGAGGCAGAUGUUGCAGUGAGCCAAGAUGGCACCACUGCACUCCAGCCUGGGUGACAGAGCGAGACCUCCUCUCAAAAAAACAAAACAAAAAACAAAAAGAAAAAAAAGUAAGAAGGUGCAGUGAGUACCUUGUGAGCUAAAUAAAUACCCAGAUAAUUGUUUCUUUAAGAACUGCUUUUCAAAAAUACCAAAGGAAAUUAAUCAAACUGAAAGCAAGUUAAACCAGUCAGUAAUCAAAUCCACAGAGAGAAAAAAAACACUCAAAAAGGCAAUUAGGUAGGCAACUACAAAAAAUGAGAUAAUUGCCUAUUUGUUUUUUUCUUCUCGUAACCAUUUUAAAAAGCAAUUGUUAAAAAUAUGUAAAUAAUUAUAUUAUUGAGCCUAUAAUAUGUAGAAAUGUAAUAUAUUUGAAAAUAAGAGCAUAGAGGAAGUAGGUAGAAAUAAAGCUAUAUAGGAAUGAGAAAAUGAUACCACAACUCAAAUACCUAGGAAGAAAUAAAGAGAACCAGAAAGAGCAAAUAAGG